RNAcentral lists this ribosomal RNA (54 nucleotides) under Chrysoporthe cubensis. RNAcentral describes it as "partial 28S ribosomal RNA". Lineage: Eukaryota; Fungi; Ascomycota; Sordariomycetes; Diaporthales; Cryphonectriaceae. The record is from RNAcentral.
CCCCUCUUCUUCUGAAAUUUGACCUCGGAUCAGGUAGGAAUACCCGAGAAGGAA